RNAcentral lists this ribosomal RNA (500 nucleotides) under uncultured bacterium. Its description in RNAcentral is "partial 16S ribosomal RNA". It matches the Rfam family "Bacterial small subunit ribosomal RNA", at positions 30 to 523 of the family's 1533-position model. The record is from RNAcentral.
AUUGAACGCUGGCGGCAUGCCUUACACAUGCAAGUCGAACGGCAGCACGGGAGCAAUCCUGGUGGCGAGUGGCGAACGGGUGAGUAAUACAUCGGAACGUGCCCAGUCGUGGGGGAUAACGCAGCGAAAGCUGUGCUAAUACCGCAUACGAUCUAUGAAUGAAAGCGGGGGAUCGCAAGACCUCGCGCGAUUGGAGCGGCCGAUAUCAGAUUAGCUAGGUGGUGGGGUAAAGGCCCACCAAGGCGACGAUCUGUAGCUGGUCUGAGAGGACGACCAGCCACACUGGAACUGAGACACGGUCCAGACUCCUACGGGAGGCAGCAGUGGGGAAUUUUGGACAAUGGGCGCAAGCCUGAUCCAGCAAUGCCGCGUGCAGGAUGAAGGCCUUCGGGUUGUAAACUGCUUUUGUACGGAACGAAACGGUCCUUUCUAAUACAGAGGGCUAAUGACGGUACCGUAAGAAUAAGCACCGGCUAACUACGUGCCAGCCGCCGCAGUAA